GGUAAAGUGGCCGAGCAGGCGGCGGAUUGUAGUCCCGAAGACGGAGGUUUGAGCCCUCCCUUUACCA
Molecule: transfer RNA, 67 nt
Filed under: Kaloula mediolineata (median-striped bullfrog)
Lineage: Eukaryota; Metazoa; Chordata; Amphibia; Anura; Microhylidae
Description: tRNA-Tyr
Rfam family: tRNA
About the family: Transfer RNA (tRNA) molecules are approximately 80 nucleotides in length. Their secondary structure includes four short double-helical elements and three loops (D, anti-codon, and T loops). Further hydrogen bonds mediate the characteristic L-shaped molecular structure. tRNAs have two regions of fundamental functional importance: the anti-codon, which is responsible for specific mRNA codon recognition, and the 3' end, to which the tRNAs corresponding amino acid is attached (by aminoacyl-tRNA synthetases). tRNAs cope with the degeneracy of the genetic code in two manners: having more than one tRNA (with a specific anti-codon) for a particular amino acid; and 'wobble' base-pairing, i.e. permitting non-standard base-pairing at the 3rd anti-codon position.
Source: RNAcentral